This is a long non-coding RNA of Homo sapiens (human), 677 nucleotides long. Lineage: Eukaryota; Metazoa; Chordata; Mammalia; Primates; Hominidae. The record is from Ensembl.
GGCGGCUGGAAUGUGAGCUUGAUUUCUGGCUGGGAAAACGGAGCCCAACUUCUAACAACAACCCAGGCCUCGGCAACUCCUUUCCCUUUGUUCACCUGGCAAGGAUACUGGACACAGAGCCCUUGGGUCUUGCUGCAAGUCUCAUCUACUGCAGUUUGCAGGAUGAACAUAAAGUGAGAGCUGCCCCAAAGGGCUGAAUGUCACGGUACAGGAGACGAGAUUUAUAGAGUGUUUUCCAACAGCUCCAUCAGCUCCAGUGCAGGAAAAAAUACAUGUGUCCCAGUGGCAAAUUCUAGUUGUUUUUCCCUUCUGAAGAGAUGUAUGAGAUGGCGAGCAAACACUGAACACAGAGCCAGCACUGGAUUAUGGAUGUUGUGGAAAGCCACCUAAAGCACAGGGGUGAGAGAAACACCCUGAAGAUGGUGAAGCAACAAGAUAAGAGCCUGCAUCCCUCAAAUUUUAGGAUUGCCAUAUCAGUCCUGAACUGCUUACACCCACACUGUUAAGUGAUCAUGAAAUAAACACCCAUCUUGCUUGGUGAAGGCAUUCUUACCUGGUGUUUGUGCUACAGGGGUUGAACCUACCCCGACCUAACAGGCAGAGCUCAAAAUGGACCCAGGUGGUGUGAUCCCAGAGCCCAUUUACUUAGCUCCUUCACCACCCUGCCUCCCAGGCAC